Molecule: long non-coding RNA, 1011 nt
Organism: Cyprinus carpio carpio
Lineage: Eukaryota; Metazoa; Chordata; Actinopteri; Cypriniformes; Cyprinidae
Source: Ensembl
AAAAACAUCAUCAAAGUAGUCCAUGUGACAUCAGAGGGUCCGUUAGAAUAUAUUGAAGCAUCGAAAAUACAUUUCGGUCCAAAAAUAACAAAAAUUAUGACUUUAUUCCGCUUUUUCUUCUCUUCCGGGUCUGUUGUGAACGCGACUGCUGUGACUGUUGACGUACGACGCUGCUGACGUGUUAUCUUUGUUAUUGGGCGCACCAGAAAACACGUCAGCAGCGUCGUACGUCAACAGUCACAGCAGUCGCGUUCACAACAGACCCGGAAGAGAAGAAAAAGUGGAAUAAAGUCGUAAUUUUUGUUAUUUUUGGAACAAAAUGUAUUUUCGAUGCUUCAAUAAAUUCCAACGGACCCUCUGAUGUCACAUGGACUACUUUGAUGAUGUUUUUAUUACCUUUCUGGACGUGGACAGUAUACCGUACAUACAUUUUCAAUGGAGGGACAGAAAGCUCUAGGACUAAAUCUAAAAUAUCUUAAACUGUGUUCUGAAGAUGAAUGGAGGUCUUACGGGUUUGGAACGACAUGAGGGACUGAGGGAGAUGGAAAUGAGGAGAGCAAUGGAGCUGCAGAAGCCCACCUUUUAGAUAAGGCAAAAGACGGAAUGUUUCAACAAUAGACAGUUAUUCGGUCAAAUGAUGUCCACAAACACUUGCAAAUAUCUUCCAAAUGCAGCUUUCUGACAUUUGAUUCACUUAAUAUACAGCUCUUCCUAAAGGAUUCCUCAUCAAAACACACUUGAGCCUCUUGAUGACGGAUUGCAGCGUCACAGUUGACUUGAAGAGAACGUCAGACUUGUGGUCCUGGUUCUUCUCAGCGACCACUCCACAGAACAAGUCAGAGGUCAGAGAAGGAAAUGAGUUUAAAAGGCAGAUUCAAAAAGAGGAUGGAUUCAGAAAUAGCCAUGGGAGUCUAAUGGAAAAAUCAACAGAAGUGGUCUACCAGAAACCAUCUACAGUAGAUGUACAAUUAGUGCUUCAACAAAGGAUUUGAAAGGGAGGACACAUUUAGC